Molecule: ribosomal RNA, 305 nt
Filed under: uncultured bacterium
Lineage: Bacteria
Description: bacterial SSU rRNA
Rfam family: Bacterial small subunit ribosomal RNA
Source: RNAcentral
CCUACGGGGGGCAGCAGUGGGGAAUAUUGCACAAUGGGGGAAACCCUGAUGCAGCGACGCCGCGUGAGCGAGGAAGUAUUUCGGUAUGUAAAGCUCUGUCAGCAGGGAAGAAGAAUGACGGUACCUGAAGAAGAAGCACCGGCUAAAUACGUGCCAGCAGCCGCGGUAAUACGUAUGGUGCAAGCGUUAUCCGGAUUUACUGGGUGUAAAGGGAGCGCAGGCGGUUCUGCAAGUCUGAUGUGAAAGCCCGGGGCUCAACCGCGGGACUGCAUUGGAAACUGCGGGACUGGAGUGUCGGAGGGGUG